GACGAACGCUGGCGGCGUGCUUAACACAUGCAAGUCGAGCGGUAAGGCCCUUUCGGGGUACGACGAGCGGCGAACGGGUGAGUAACACGUGGGUGACCUGCCCUCAGCUCUGGGAGUAAGCCUGGGAAACCGGGUACUAAUACCGGAUAUGACUCCAUGACGCAUGUUGUGGGGUGGAAAGCCUUGUGCGGCUGAGGAUGGGCCCGCGGCCUAUCAGCUUGUUGGUGGGGUGAUGGCCUACCAAGGCGACGACGGGUAGCCGGCCUGA
This 268-nucleotide ribosomal RNA is filed under the name uncultured bacterium. RNAcentral describes it as "partial 16S ribosomal RNA". It matches the Rfam family "Bacterial small subunit ribosomal RNA", at positions 28 to 295 of the family's 1533-position model. The record is from RNAcentral.